GGCGGCAUAGCCAAGUGGUAAGGCAGAGGUUUGCAAAACCUUCAUCCCCCGGUUCGAAUCCGGGUGCCGCCUCCA
This 75-nucleotide transfer RNA is filed under the name Patescibacteria group bacterium. RNAcentral's name for it is "tRNA-Cys". It matches the Rfam family "tRNA". From Rfam's summary of the family: Transfer RNA (tRNA) molecules are approximately 80 nucleotides in length. Their secondary structure includes four short double-helical elements and three loops (D, anti-codon, and T loops). The record is from RNAcentral.